This 440-nucleotide ribosomal RNA is filed under the name uncultured bacterium. RNAcentral's name for it is "partial 16S ribosomal RNA". It matches the Rfam family "Bacterial small subunit ribosomal RNA", at positions 338 to 795 of the family's 1533-position model. The record is from RNAcentral.
CCUACGUGGGGCAGCAGUGGGGAAUAUUGCACAAUGGGGGAAACCCUGAUGCAGCGACGCCGCGUGAGCGAUGAAGUAUUUCGGUAUGUAAAGCUCUAUCAGCAGGGAAGAAGAUGACGGUACCUGACUAAGAAGCCCCGGCUAACUACGUGCCAGCAGCCGCGGUAAUACGUAGGGGGCAAGCGUUAGCCGGAUUUACUGGGGGUAAAGGGAGCGUAGACGGCGAUGCAAGCCAGAUGUGAAAGCCCGGGGCGCAACCCCGGGACUGCAUUUGGAACUGUGUGGCUGGAGUGUCGGAGAGGCAGGCGGAAUUCCUAGUGGAGCGGUGAAAUGCGUAGAUAGUAGGAGGAACACCAGUGGCGAAGGCGGCCUGCUGGACGAUGACUGACGUUGAGGCUCGAAAGCGUGGGGAGCAAACAGGAUUAGAUACCCGAGUAGUC